GGGGCGGGCACAGGUGGCACCGAGGAUUUUGGCCCGGGUACAGGUGGCACCGAGGAUUUUGGCCCGGGUACAGGUGGCACCGAGGAUUUUGGCAGGGGGGUACAGGUGGCACCGAGGAUUUUGGGGCGGGUACAGGUGGCAUCCAGGAGUUCUGGGGCGGGUACAGGUGGCACCGAGGAGUUCUGGGGUGGGCACAGGUGGCACCCAGGAGUUCUGGGGCGGGGGGGUACAGGUGGCACCGAGGAUUUUGGGGUGUGUACAGGUGGUACCCAGGAGUUCUGGGGUGGGGCAGGCACAGGUGGCCCAGAGGAUUUUGGGGCAGGCACAGGUGGCCCCGAGGAUUUUGGGGCGGGUCCAGGUGGCACCCAGGAGUUCUGGGGCGGGGGGGUACAGGUGGCACCGAGGAUUUUGGGGGCCACGAAGGACAUGAGAACCCCCCACAGCCGCGUUUGCCUCUCGGCGAGGAUGGGUUUUACCUGCCGGGGGUUUGCGGUGGAGACCCCCGAGGGUCUCACCAGAGUGCCA
Long non-coding RNA from Serinus canaria (Common canary), 525 nucleotides. RefSeq lists it as uncharacterized. Lineage: Eukaryota; Metazoa; Chordata; Aves; Passeriformes; Fringillidae. The record is from RefSeq and is a predicted model, not a curated record. The transcript is spliced from 3 exons.